This 268-nucleotide long non-coding RNA is filed under the name Arachis ipaensis. RNAcentral's name for it is "long non-coding RNA (AIPA_LNC001666)". Lineage: Eukaryota; Viridiplantae; Streptophyta; Magnoliopsida; Fabales; Fabaceae. The record is from RNAcentral.
UUCUCAACCAUGAGCUGACAUUACAUUUAGACUAGAGGUGGCAGCUGAGGCUUGGCACAGAUGGAGGAUUUCUACGCCUCUCAUCAAGCUGCAUCCGGGUUCAAAUCCCAGCUGAGGCUGGAUGUUGCAAGAACCCAUAGUACCCAUGUAGUGUGUGUGAGUGUGUUGUGUGGGUGUGUGAAACAUGGGGUUAAUGCCUAGGAUUGGGGGCUGUCCAAUCCACUUGACAAAAAAAAAAAAAAAAAGACUAGAGGUGCACAUGAUCGGC